RNAcentral lists this ribosomal RNA (2906 nucleotides) under Yersinia rohdei. Its description in RNAcentral is "bacterial LSU rRNA". It matches the Rfam family "Bacterial large subunit ribosomal RNA". The record is from RNAcentral. Lineage: Bacteria; Pseudomonadati; Pseudomonadota; Gammaproteobacteria; Enterobacterales; Yersiniaceae.
UAAGCGACUAAGCGUACACGGUGGAUGCCUAGGCAGUCAGAGGCGAUGAAGGGCGUGCUAAUCUGCGAUAAGCGUCGGUAAGCUGAUAUGAAGCGUUACAACCGACGAUACCCGAAUGGGGAAACCCAGUGCAAUUCGUUGCACUAUUGCAUGGUGAAUACAUAGCCAUGCAAGGCGAACCGGGGGAACUGAAACAUCUAAGUACCCCGAGGAAAAGAAAUCAACCGAGAUUCCCCUAGUAGCGGCGAGCGAACGGGGAAGAGCCCAGAGUCUGAAUCAGUUUGUGUGUUAGUGGAAGCGUCUGGAAAGUCGCAGGGUACAGGGUGAUACUCCCGUACACAAAAACACACUUGCUGUGAACUCGAUGAGUAGGGCGGGACACGUGACAUCCUGUCUGAAUAUGGGGGGACCAUCCUCCAAGGCUAAAUACUCCUGACUGACCGAUAGUGAACCAGUACCGUGAGGGAAAGGCGAAAAGAACCCCGGCGAGGGGAGUGAAAUAGAACCUGAAACCGUGUACGUACAAGCAGUGGGAGCCUUGAUUUAUCAGGGUGACUGCGUACCUUUUGUAUAAUGGGUCAGCGACUUAUAUUUUGUAGCAAGGUUAACCGAAUAGGGGAGCCGUAGGGAAACCGAGUCUUAACUGGGCGUCUAGUUGCAAGGUAUAGACCCGAAACCCGGUGAUCUAGCCAUGGGCAGGUUGAAGGUUGGGUAACACUAACUGGAGGACCGAACCGACUAAUGUUGAAAAAUUAGCGGAUGACUUGUGGCUGGGGGUGAAAGGCCAAUCAAACCGGGAGAUAGCUGGUUCUCCCCGAAAGCUAUUUAGGUAGCGCCUCGUGAACUCAUCUUCGGGGGUAGAGCACUGUUUCGGCUAGGGGGUCAUCCCGACUUACCAAACCGAUGCAAACUCCGAAUACCGAAGAAUGUUAUCACGGGAGACACACGGCGGGUGCUAACGUCCGUCGUGAAGAGGGAAACAACCCAGACCGCCAGCUAAGGUCCCAAAGUCAUGGUUAAGUGGGAAACGAUGUGGGAAGGCAUAGACAGCCAGGAUGUUGGCUUAGAAGCAGCCAUCAUUUAAAGAAAGCGUAAUAGCUCACUGGUCGAGUCGGCCUGCGCGGAAGAUGUAACGGGGCUAAACCAUGCACCGAAGCUGCGGCAGCGACGCUUAGGCGUUGUUGGGUAGGGGAGCGUUCUGUAAGCCGUUGAAGGUGACCUGUGAGGGUUGCUGGAGGUAUCAGAAGUGCGAAUGCUGACAUAAGUAACGAUAAUGCGGGUGAAAAACCCGCACGCCGGAAGACCAAGGGUUCCUGUCCAACGUUAAUCGGGGCAGGGUGAGUCGACCCCUAAGGCGAGGCUGAAAAGCGUAGUCGAUGGGAAACAGGUUAAUAUUCCUGUACUUGGUGUUACUGCGAAGGGGGGACGGAGAAGGCUAGGCUAGCCGGGCGACGGUUGUCCCGGUUUAAGCAUGUAGGCGGAGUGACUUGGUAAAUCCGGUUGCUUAUCAACGCUGAGGUGUGAUGACGAGCCACUACGGUGGUGAAGUAGUUGAUGCCAAGCUUCCAGGAAAAGCCUCUAAGCAUCAGGUAACAUUAAAUCGUACCCCAAACCGACACAGGUGGUCAGGUAGAGAAUACUCAGGCGCUUGAGAGAACUCGGGUGAAGGAACUAGGCAAAAUGGUGCCGUAACUUCGGGAGAAGGCACGCUGGCAUUAGGUAAUGGGACUUGCUCCCGGCGCCGAAGCCAGUCGCAGAUACCAGCUGGCUGCAACUGUUUAAUAAAAACACAGCACUGUGCAAACACGAAAGUGGACGUAUACGGUGUGACGCCUGCCCGGUGCUGGAAGGUUAAUUGAUGGGGUCAGCCGCAAGGCGAAGCUCUUGAUCGAAGCCCCAGUAAACGGCGGCCGUAACUAUAACGGUCCUAAGGUAGCGAAAUUCCUUGUCGGGUAAGUUCCGACCUGCACGAAUGGCGUAAUGAUGGCCAGGCUGUCUCCACCCGAGACUCAGUGAAAUUGAACUCGCUGUGAAGAUGCAGUGUACCCGCGGCAAGACGGAAAGACCCCGUGAACCUUUACUAUAGCUUGACACUGAACAUUGAGCCUUGAUGUGUAGGAUAGGUGGGAGGCAUCGAAGCGUGGACGCCAGUCUGCGUGGAGCCAACCUUGAAAUACCACCCUUUAAUGUUUGAUGUUCUAACUCGGCCCCAUAAUCUGGGGUGAGGACAGUGUCUGGUGGGUAGUUUGACUGGGGCGGUCUCCUCCCAAAGAGUAACGGAGGAGCACGAAGGUUAGCUAAUCACGGUCGGACAUCGUGAGGUUAGUGCAAAGGCAUAAGCUAGCUUGACUGCGAGAGUGACGGCUCGAGCAGGUACGAAAGUAGGUCUUAGUGAUCCGGUGGUUCUGAAUGGAAGGGCCAUCGCUCAACGGAUAAAAGGUACUCCGGGGAUAACAGGCUGAUACCGCCCAAGAGUUCAUAUCGACGGCGGUGUUUGGCACCUCGAUGUCGGCUCAUCACAUCCUGGGGCUGAAGUAGGUCCCAAGGGUAUGGCUGUUCGCCAUUUAAAGUGGUACGCGAGCUGGGUUUAGAACGUCGUGAGACAGUUCGGUCCCUAUCUGCCGUGGGCGUUGGAAGAUUGAGAGGGGCUGCUCCUAGUACGAGAGGACCGGAGUGGACGAAUCACUGGUGUUCGGGUUGUCAUGCCAAUGGCAUUGCCCGGUAGCUAAAUUCGGAAGAGAUAACCGCUGAAAGCAUCUAAGCGGGAAACUUGCCUCGAGAUGAGUCUUCCCUGGGGCUUUAAGCCCCCUGAAGGAACGUUAAAGACUAUGACGUUGAUAGGCUGGGUGUGUAAGUGCAGCGAUGCAUUGAGCUAACCAGUACUAAUGAUCCGUGAGGCUUAACCU